UCUAAAGGCAUGUAAAGGCAUCUAAAAGCAAGGCAAGGCAUCUAAAGGCAUGUAAAGGCGUCUAAAGACAAGGCAAGGCACGGCAUCUACAGGCAUGUGAAGGCAUCUAAAGGCAAGGCAAGGCAAGACAAAGCAUCUAAAUGCAUGUAAAGGCAUGUAAUGGCAAGGCAAGGCAUCUAAAGGCAUGUAAAGGCAUCUAAAGGCAAGGCAAGGCAAGGCACAGCAUCUAAGGCAUCUAAAGGCAUGUAAUGGCAAGGCAAGGCCAGGCAAUGCAAGGCAUCUAAAGGCAUGUAAAGGCAUCUAAAGCCAAGGCAAGGUAAGGCAAGAUGAGGCAUGUAAAGGCAUCUAAAGGCAAGGCUAGGCAAGGCAAGAAAAGGCAUCUAAAGGCAUGCAAAGAAAUCUAAAGUCAAGUCCAGGCAAGUCAAGUCAAAGUCAAGUCAAGUCACGUCAAGUCAAAAGUCAAGUCAACUCAAGGCAGGGCAGGGCAAGGCAAAGGUAAAGGCAAAAAGGCAAAGGCAAAGGUAAAGGCAAAAAGGCAAGGCCCAUCCAGUCAAGUCAAGGCAAGGCAAGUCCAGGCAAGUAAAAUCCAGGAAAGUCAAGUCAAGUCCAGGCAAGGCAUGUCCAGUCCAGGCAAGGGCUGGUGCCUGGCCUGUUGCCCCUAAGUUUGAUAGAUGAACCAACACUCUGCAAGCAAGGGCUGCCAUCUGUGACCCCUCAGCUCAGGAUGCCAUCAUGAGCAGGAACCAGGUUUCUCAGGAGGCCUUGGGCUACUAUCUGGUGGUCAUGACUCCCAGAGUAUGGAGACAGGAGUUUGUGCUUCCCACUUCCUCCCAAUGAUUGCCUGGAUAUGAUGGACCACAGUGGGAUCACAACAUGAACUUGAGACUAUGAUGUUAACCAGAUGGUUAGCAAAAAAUGGCAAAUCUUUCACUAGAACAGCCAAGAAAGAGAGACACAAGACUCAAAAUAACAUCAGAAGUGAAAAUGUGAACGUUACUACAGAUUUUACAGAAAUCAAAACUUAUGAGUAAAUGCCAUUGUAUACUGAUAAAUUGGAUAGCCUGACUAAAAUGGAAAUUUCUAAAACACACAGUGUGUUAAAACUGACGCAUAAAGAUAUAGAAAAAUUGGAACAGACCUAUAACCAGUGAGGAGUAAUAAAAUCAAAGCCAGAUGACUUCA
Callithrix jacchus (white-tufted-ear marmoset) is the source of this 1182-nucleotide non-coding RNA. NCBI's taxonomy places the organism in Eukaryota, Metazoa, Chordata, Mammalia, Primates, Cebidae. The record is from RefSeq and is a predicted model, not a curated record.